GAUGAACGCUGGCGGCGUGCCUAAUACAUGCAAGUCGAACGAACAGACGAGGAGCUUGCUCCUUUCACGUUAGCGGCGGACGGGUGAGUAACGCGUAGGUAACCUACCUGUCAUACUGGGAUAACUUCGGAAAACCGGAGCUUAUACCGUAUAAUAUUUCGAACCGCAUUGUUCGAUAGUGAAAGUUGGCUUUUCUAUCACUUAUAGAUGGACCUCCGCGGUAUUGGCGAGUUGGGAAGUUCACGGCUUAUCAAGGCAACGAUACGUAGCCGACCUGAGAGGGUGAUAGGCCACCUUGGAACUGAGACAGCGUCCAUACUACUACGGGAGGCAGCAGUAGGGAACCGUACGCAAUGGGCGGAAGUCUGACGGAGCAACGCCACGUGAGUUAUGAAGGUCCUGGGAUCGUAAAACUCUCUUAUUAGGGAAGAACCAACGUGUAAGUAACUGUGCACGUCUUGACGGUAACUAAUCAGAAAGCAACGGCUAACUACGUG
Molecule: ribosomal RNA, 497 nt
Filed under: uncultured bacterium
Lineage: Bacteria
Description: partial 16S ribosomal RNA
Rfam family: Bacterial small subunit ribosomal RNA
Source: RNAcentral